Non-coding RNA from Diaporthe ampelina, 71 nucleotides. NCBI's taxonomy places the organism in Eukaryota, Fungi, Ascomycota, Sordariomycetes, Diaporthales, Diaporthaceae. The record is from Rfam.
UACGCGUUAGUUAAAUGGUAUAAUGAUGUGCUACGGACACAGUGUUAUAGGUUCGAAUCCUGUACGCGUAU